UUAAUUGAAGAGUUUGAUCAUGGCUCAGAUUGAACGCUGGCGGCAGGCCUAACACAUGCAAGUCGAGCGGCAGCACAGAGGAACUUGUUCCUUGGGUGGCGAGCGGCGGACGGGUGAGUAAUGCCUGGGAAAUUGCCCGGU
This 141-nucleotide ribosomal RNA is filed under the name Vibrio cholerae. RNAcentral's name for it is "partial 16S ribosomal RNA". It matches the Rfam family "Bacterial small subunit ribosomal RNA", at positions 1 to 133 of the family's 1533-position model. The record is from RNAcentral. Lineage: Bacteria; Pseudomonadati; Pseudomonadota; Gammaproteobacteria; Vibrionales; Vibrionaceae.